This 582-nucleotide ribosomal RNA is filed under the name uncultured bacterium. Its description in RNAcentral is "partial 16S ribosomal RNA". It matches the Rfam family "Bacterial small subunit ribosomal RNA", at positions 356 to 922 of the family's 1533-position model. The record is from RNAcentral.
UGGGAAUUUUGGACAAUGGGCGAAAGCCUGAUCCAGCAAUGCCGCGUGUGUGAAGAAGGCCUUCGGGUUGUAAAGCACUUUUGUCCGGAAAGAAAAUCCUUGGCUCUAAUACAGUCGGGGGAUGACGGUACCGGAAGAAUAAGCACCGGCUAACUACGUGCCAGCAGCCGCGGUAAUACGUAGGGUGCAAGCGUUAAUCGGAAUUACUGGGCGUAAAGCGUGCGCAGGCGGUUUGCUAAGACCGAUGUGAAAAUCCCCGGGCNCAACCUGGGAACUGCAUUGGUGACUGGCAGGCUAGAGUAUGGCAGAGGGGGGUAGAAUUCCACGUGUAGCAGUGAAAUGCGUAGAGAUGUGGAGGAAUACCGAUGGCGAAGGCAGCCCCCUGGGCCAAUACUGACGCUCAUGCACGAAAAGCGUGGGGAGCAAAACAGGAUUAGAUACCCCUGGUAGUCCACGCCCUAAAACGAUGUCAACUAGUUGUUGGGGAUUCAUUUCCUUAGUAACGUAGCUAAACGCGUGAAGUUGACCGCCUGGGGGAGUACGGUCGCAAGAUUAAAAACUCAAAUGAAUUGACGGGGUCAU